UGACCCGUGGCCCAGUAGCAUAAUCAAUUGUCUUUUAAUUGAAGGCUGGAAUGAAAGGUUGGAUGAGAUAUAAACUAUUUUUAUUUUAUAAGUAAUGAAUUUUAAUUUUAAGUAAAAAUGCUUAAAUAAAUAAAUUAGACGAGAAGACCCUAUAAAUCUUUAUUUUUUUAAAAAAAUAAAUAAAUUUAUAAAAUUUUUUGUUAUUUUUUUAAAAGAAUUUAAUUGGGGUGAUUAUUAAAUUUAAUAAACUUUUAUUAAUUUUUACAAUUUAUAUUUGAUUAUAAUGAUCCAUUAUUAAUGAUUAAAAGUUUAAGUUACUUUAGGGAUAACAGCGUAAUUAUUUUGAAGAGUUCUUAUCGAUAAAAUAGAUUGCGACCUCGAUGUUGAAUUAAGAUAAAUUUAAAUGCAGG
This 410-nucleotide ribosomal RNA is filed under the name Culicoides zuluensis. Its description in RNAcentral is "partial 16S ribosomal RNA". Lineage: Eukaryota; Metazoa; Arthropoda; Insecta; Diptera; Ceratopogonidae. The record is from RNAcentral.